CAGCUCUGCGCGUGCCGAGAUGAUCGCCUGGCUAAGGGCUGAGACCCUGGCUGCCGGAGGAUAGGAGGGUGGCCGAGGGAAACAGAGGGGGGUCAGCGGGUGGUUCCCGGAUGGUCCAGGAGGCGGAGACACUAGGGAGUCCCCGUAGGCGGUGCCUCGGCGGCGGGCGUUAUUUACCUGCAGUCUUGGAGCAGGUAAAAAGAACUUAAGCCCAGAAAGCGAAAACCAGAACCGGAGGACCUCUAUUUCCUUCUUUUCUUUCCCGGAGCUUCGAGAGUCCUCGCCUCAUCGGCCUCCAACCUAUCAGCGCCCACCCACCUAGCGUCCCCUGCUCAGCCGAGAAGCCAACGCACGCAUUAACCUCUCAGUGACCACUCGGAUCAAGGCGAGGAGCCAAGCGUCUAAGAUUCUGGUCUUCCAAGUAUACCUGGUGGGCGUCUCCCUCUCUAGCUGCGGGGGCGUGCCCAGCGCGUGCCUACUCACUUCUGACCCCAGCCUGGGCUUGGCUCGUGCCAGUGCCCAGACACUUGGUCCCCGAGGUGGGGGAAGGCGGGGCGUGGUCCCCGAGGUAGGAGGGGGGCGCGUCCUCAGCUGUAUGCUAAUGAGGUUCUGACUCCUCCUUCAGGGCCUCCCUCACCUGGGUCCAGCUUCAGCUCCAUCGCCUAUUGCCCACCCUGUCCCCCCACUCCAGCAACCCCAAGCCCCCGCCCGCGUCCUGUAGCUCCGCUGGGGCAGGGAGGAACUCUCCUGACUCCGGAGUUGACUCGGGCCACUGGAGAGUCAAGGUGAGGGACUGAGACCAGGCAGGCCCGAGUACUCUCCUUCAUAGGGCAGGAUGUGAGGUGGAACUGGAGUCGCACCGAGUUGUUUGAGUUUGGGGCGGCUUCACUCGUCUCGCCCGCGCGACUCUCCCGGGUGGCCUCACUUCGAGAGGCAGCGGCGCAGCUGCUUUCCCGGAACCCGGCGUGAUCCCUGGAGGCCGCAGACCGCGAGGGCCAGCUUCUCCCAGUCUCGAGGGUGCCCUGGAGGUCUCUCUCUCUUUGCGACGCUGAGGGCGGCGGGGGCCCUGUGGCUUCAGCUGUCAGCCCGCCCGCGCAGUGAUGGCUGUCGCCGAACGAUAAGAUCAGUGCGGGGGGAGCGGGGACGCGUCGCGGGCCCGGGGGAGGCCGCAGGCAGGGAGGGGGGUGCGGCGCGGAGCCCAACAGCUGCCAAUGCCAAGCAUGGUCUGAUUUUUUGACUCGGGUGGUGGUGGUGGAGGAUUGGGGGGCGGGAGGAUGAGAUACAAGAGGUUGGGAGCGUGGGUUGGGGGAGGGGCGAGGUGAGGCGACGGGCUCCGGGGUCCCCCACGCACGGCCACCCCUCCCAGCCACCAUCUGGCGCGAGCGGGUUGGCGUGGGGAACCGAAGUGGGGCGGGGGCCGGCAGAUGGGCCCAGGCUGCUCCGAGAGUUAAUGUAGGUUAUGGGCAGGCGGAGUCCCAGGCCCGAGGGAGGGGGAGCCCAGAGUGUGCCUCCCGGCAAUCCUGGCAAGUGGGCUUCCAGAUCCUCUCUCCGUGAAUACUCUAUGGCUCUCUAGACCUGCCUAGGAUGCCAGAAGGUGCUCCUCGCUCUUCUCUGAGCUGGCAUCCAGCCCCACCUAGCUCUGUCCGCUUCCAUUCCUAAAUCCUGGCCUGGGAGUUCAUAAAAACAUGAUCCUUUUUUUGGAUGUGGCACUUCCCUGACCCUCAAGAGAGACAUCCAUUUCCCCAGGAGGCAUCUCUAUCAAUACUGGCAGAUCUGGAACUUUCUCUAUCCUCUUAUACACCUGGACUAACAUCCCCAAAACGUUUUGCCCAUGGUCAAGGACCAAACAAAAGUUGGGAUCACUGCAAGGGAUUCUAGUGUUCUACAUAGUCUCUGAACCUGGAGGAAAACAGUAAAUUUUCCUCCUUACCAGAAACACCUGUUUGCAUGGGGCGCUGUCCAAAAGCUCACUACCUGGCCAGGACCCCAUCCUUAUCCCUGAGUACCUACUAUUACUCCAUUUUGCUGGGGUAGAAUUUUGCCCAAUUUGCUGAGCCGGAAAGGGUAACGCUGCAGGCAGGGAAUCCAAGUGAACGGGCCUGAAUGUUUCUGAACAGACACCCCAAUUCUGGAACACCUCACUUCCACACUCCAGCGGAAGGAUGAAAUUUGCAUUCUUGGGGCUCAAAAAAAGAGUAGGAAGCAGGGAAGCGAUAAAGAGGCCGCAGAUCACUUGGAUUGGGGACUCUUCGUCAGAGUCUACAGAUCCUAUGACUGAUGUAGACGCUUGACCACGCCCUGGAGAGUGGACUUCGACUUGGUUCAGACCAACCUGGGCUCCCACUAACUGCGAGUCUUUCUCGGAUCCACAGUUCCUCAAUCUCGACCCUGCCCAGCGUCGGAAGCCAGACCAGGGUGGAAGCCUGACUUCACACUGAGGACCACAGCCCCCGCCCCAAGAGGUCUUCUACUUUGCGGUCCUUUCAGUUUGGCUAUUGUGCUACCACUACACAUCAUUCCCGCAGCAGGCAGAACUAGCACCUGGAGCCAGGAAACACCAAGGUUGCCUUCCGCAGUGCACUCAGACUGACCCCGGGUCACUGGAGUACGUCCGGAGCCGGAGCCGUAAGUCUCUGCACUUCUUCCCAGCUGUGUGGCCUACAAGCCUUGCGCAGAGUCGUGGCCGCAGCUCCGAGUUCUCUAGUAGUUUUACCCCUCAUCCCACCUCCUCCAUUCCUCCCAGGGGACAGCGCUCUCGACCCGGCACACUGCAAAAGGGUAGAAACACAGUGGGGUCCCUGCCACAGAGCCCGAUGGGCAGGUUGGGGGCGGGGAAGCAGGCCUGGCUGGGGCGGAGCGCUUAAGCCUUGAGGGGCGCUGCUGUGGUGGAUGCGGAGAAGGGGCCACGUGCAGGGAGCGGCGGCCCGAGAGCUGCACAGAAGGCGGGGAGAUUUGCAAACUGUUGCUGCCACAUGGCUGCUCCAUUCGAUCCAUUCACAUUGAAAUGAGGCCGGCGCGUGCCUCAUCUGCCGCAGGGCGCUGCCACGCGUCAGCCCGACCCGCCGCGUGCCAACUGGGGCAGUGGGGCUGGCAAAGUCUGCCAGCCGUGGGGGCUCAGCCCAGGCCCUACAGCCAGGAGGGGGUAGGGGAAGGGCGUCGAGCUACCCUAGCCACUCAGGCGCCACUGAUUCUCGGACCUUGGCCCCGCAAUUGCGAUUGAGCCGGCAGAAAGGACUAGGACGGACGGUUUCAAAAGGGGGCCAGGAUCGAUGCCGCCGCUCCCCGCAGAUGCGCCCCGGCAGCGCUACUCUCCAUCUGCCGCUGCUCGCACCUGCCGGUCAAUAAAUCGAUUUUACAAUUUAAUGCAGCAGCUUCCCGCCCGCCUGGGACAGAUGCCGCCGCAGAACCACCUCCGCCUUCGCCCCUCCCCUCGAGGGGCGCCAGCGGUUAAGGACUGGAUUCCCGCUCAGCUGGCAGCGCCCUGCGGGGCUUAGUGCACCUCUCUUGGGAGCCCCUACAAGGAACUGCCCGCUCCGGGUUUUUCCCGCGGACAGAGUGGGUUCCCCAUAGGUCAGGCCUGAAGCUGGCCAAGGAGACCAAAUGAUGACUUGGCCGUGGCCUCGCUUGGGAAGGGGGGGCGGUUCAAGGAAGGAACAGGAUGCAGUGACUGAAGAUAAAAUGUGAGGGCCCCUGUGAGAAGGAAGGGGAGGGCCUUGGGCACUGAGGGACACUGAGUUCUGAAGAAUUUUAAGGGGGCUGAGCUGGGUGGAACACUGAGGUGGGAUGAGGGUUCUGCCUACCCUUUCUUGUCAGUCUGGUAAAUAAACAUGAUAGGGACUUGGCUCCCAGCACUUCCUAGCCAUG
This 3864-nucleotide long non-coding RNA is filed under the name Marmota monax (woodchuck). Lineage: Eukaryota; Metazoa; Chordata; Mammalia; Rodentia; Sciuridae. The record is from RNAcentral.